AGCGAACGCUGGCGGCAGGCCUAACACAUGCAAGUCGAACGAAGUCUUCGGACUUAGUGGCGGACGGGUGAGUAACACGUGGGAACGUGCCUUUAGGUUCGGAAUAACUCAGGGAAACUUGUGCUAAUACCGAAUGUGCCCUUCGGGGGAAAGAUUUAUCGCCUUUAGAGCGGCCCGCGUCUGAUUAGCUAGUUGGUGAGGUAAAGGCUCACCAAGGCUACGAUCAGUAGCUGGUCUGAGAGGAUGACCAGCCACAUUGGGACUGAGACACGGCCCAAACUCCUACGGGAGGCAGCAGUGGGGAAUCUUGCGCAAUGGGCGAAAGCCUGACGCAGCCAUGCCGCGUGGAUGAUGAAGGUCUUAGGAUUGUAAAAUCCUUUCACCGGUGAAGAUAAUGACUGUAGCCGUAGAAGAAGCCCCGGCUAACUUCGUGCCAGCCGCCGCGGUAA
RNAcentral lists this ribosomal RNA (449 nucleotides) under uncultured bacterium. Its description in RNAcentral is "partial 16S ribosomal RNA". It matches the Rfam family "Bacterial small subunit ribosomal RNA", at positions 29 to 523 of the family's 1533-position model. The record is from RNAcentral.